GGUUAAGCGACUAAGCGUACACGGUGGAUGCCCUGGCAGUCAGAGGCGAUGAAGGACGUGCUAAUCUGCGAUAAGCGUCGGUAAGGUGAUAUGAACCGUUAUAACCGGCGAUUUCCGAAUGGGGAAACCCAGUGUGUUUCGACACACUAUCAUUAACUGAAUCCAUAGGUUAAUGAGGCGAACCGGGGGAACUGAAACAUCUAAGUACCCCGAGGAAAAGAAAUCAACCGAGAUUCCCCCAGUAGCGGCGAGCGAACGGGGAGCAGCCCAGAGCCUGAAUCAGUGUGUGUGUUAGUGGAAGCGUCUGGAAAGGCGCGCGAUACAGGGUGACAGCCCCGUACACAAAAAUGCACAUAUUGUGAGCUCGAUGAGUAGGGCGGGACACGUGGUAUCCUGUCUGAAUAUGGGGGGACCAUCCUCCAAGGCUAAAUACUCCUGACUGACCGAUAGUGAACCAGUACCGUGAGGGAAAGGCGAAAAGAACCCCGGCGAGGGGAGUGAAAAAGAACCUGAAACCGUGUACGUACAAGCAGUGGGAGCACGCUUAGGCGUGUGACUGCGUACCUUUUGUAUAAUGGGUCAGCGACUUAUAUUCUGUAGCAAGGUUAACCGAAUAGGGGAGCCGAAGGGAAACCGAGUCUUAACUGGGCGUUAAGUUGCAGGGUAUAGACCCGAAACCCGGUGAUCUAGCCAUGGGCAGGUUGAAGGUUGGGUAACACUAACUGGAGGACCGAACCGACUAAUGUUGAAAAAUUAGCGGAUGACUUGUGGCUGGGGGUGAAAGGCCAAUCAAACCGGGAGAUAGCUGGUUCUCCCCGAAAGCUAUUUAGGUAGCGCCUCGUGAAUUCAUCUCCGGGGGUAGAGCACUGUUUCGGCAAGGGGGUCAUCCCGACUUACCAACCCGAUGCAAACUGCGAAUACCGGAGAAUGUUAUCACGGGAGACACACGGCGGGUGCUAACGUCCGUCGUGAAGAGGGAAACAACCCAGACCGCCAGCUAAGGUCCCAAAGUCAUGGUUAAGUGGGAAACGAUGUGGGAAGGCCCAGACAGCCAGGAUGUUGGCUUAGAAGCAGCCAUCAUUUAAAGAAAGCGUAAUAGCUCACUGGUCGAGUCGGCCUGCGCGGAAGAUGUAACGGGGCUAAACCAUGCACCGAAGCUGCGGCAGCGACGCUGAUGCGUUGUUGGGUAGGGGAGCGUUCUGUAAGCCUGUGAAGGUGUGCUGUGAGGCAUGCUGGAGGUAUCAGAAGUGCGAAUGCUGACAUAAGUAACGAUAAAGCGGGUGAAAAGCCCGCUCGCCGGAAGACCAAGGGUUCCUGUCCAACGUUAAUCGGGGCAGGGUGAGUCGACCCCUAAGGCGAGGCCGAAAGGCGUAGUCGAUGGGAAACAGGUUAAUAUUCCUGUACUUGGUGUUACUGCGAAGGGGGGACGGAGAAGGCUAUGUUGGCCGGGCGACGGUUGUCCCGGUUUAAGCGUGUAGGCUGGUUUUCCAGGCAAAUCCGGAAAAUCAAGGCUGAGGCGUGAUGACGAGGCACUACGGUGCUGAAGCAACAAAUGCCCUGCUUCCAGGAAAAGCCUCUAAGCAUCAGGUAACAUCAAAUCGUACCCCAAACCGACACAGGUGGUCAGGUAGAGAAUACCAAGGCGCUUGAGAGAACUCGGGUGAAGGAACUAGGCAAAAUGGUGCCGUAACUUCGGGAGAAGGCACGCUGAUAUGUAGGUGAAGUCCCUUGCGGAUGGAGCUGAAAUCAGUCGAAGAUACCAGCUGGCUGCAACUGUUUAUUAAAAACACAGCACUGUGCAAACACGAAAGUGGACGUAUACGGUGUGACGCCUGCCCGGUGCCGGAAGGUUAAUUGAUGGGGUCAGCGCAAGCGAAGCUCUUGAUCGAAGCCCCGGUAAACGGCGGCCGUAACUAUAACGGUCCUAAGGUAGCGAAAUUCCUUGUCGGGUAAGUUCCGACCUGCACGAAUGGCGUAAUGAUGGCCAGGCUGUCUCCACCCGAGACUCAGUGAAAUUGAACUCGCUGUGAAGAUGCAGUGUACCCGCGGCAAGACGGAAAGACCCCGUGAACCUUUACUAUAGCUUGACACUGAACAUUGAGCCUUGAUGUGUAGGAUAGGUGGGAGGCUUGGAAGUGUGGACGCCAGUCUGCAUGGAGCCGACCUUGAAAUACCACCCUUUAAUGUUUGAUGUUCUAACGUUGACCCGUAAUCCGGGUUGCGGACAGUGUCUGGUGGGUAGUUUGACUGGGGCGGUCUCCUCCUAAAGAGUAACGGAGGAGCACGAAGGUUGGCUAAUCCUGGUCGGACAUCAGGAGGUUAGUGCAAUGGCAUAAGCCAGCUUGACUGCGAGCGUGACGGCGCGAGCAGGUGCGAAAGCAGGUCAUAGUGAUCCGGUGGUUCUGAAUGGAAGGGCCAUCGCUCAACGGAUAAAAGGUACUCCGGGGAUAACAGGCUGAUACCGCCCAAGAGUUCAUAUCGACGGCGGUGUUUGGCACCUCGAUGUCGGCUCAUCACAUCCUGGGGCUGAAGUAGGUCCCAAGGGUAUGGCUGUUCGCCAUUUAAAGUGGUACGCGAGCUGGGUUUAGAACGUCGUGAGACAGUUCGGUCCCUAUCUGCCGUGGGCGCUGGAGAACUGAGGGGGGCUGCUCCUAGUACGAGAGGACCGGAGUGGACGCAUCACUGGUGUUCGGGUUGUCAUGCCAAUGGCACUGCCCGGUAGCUAAAUGCGGAAGAGAUAAGUGCUGAAAGCAUCUAAGCACGAAACUUGCCCCGAGAUGAGUUCUCCCUGACUCCUUGAGAGUCCUGAAGGAACGUUGAAGACGACGACGUUGAUAGGCCGGGUGUGUAAGCGCAGCGAUGCGUUGAGCUAACCGGUACUAAUGAACCGUGAGGCUUAACCUU
RNAcentral lists this ribosomal RNA (2904 nucleotides) under Escherichia coli. Its description in RNAcentral is "23S ribosomal RNA". It matches the Rfam family "Bacterial large subunit ribosomal RNA". The record is from RNAcentral. Lineage: Bacteria; Pseudomonadati; Pseudomonadota; Gammaproteobacteria; Enterobacterales; Enterobacteriaceae.